GAGGGAUCAAGGGGAGGGUACCAGCUAAAAGGAGGAGGGAAGAUUUAGUAGUUGGGAAGGAUUUGUAUGUGUAGUUUGACUGAGUAAUGCCUCUGAUCCCCCAUUAAAGAAGCCCCAUGACACACCAUUAACACAACGGUUGGAGCUGGGAAAUGCAUGGCAAAAGGACCACUGGAUUUGCUGCAGGUGUGGUCAGGGAAGUAAAGCAGAUUGCAUCUCCUCAACGCUCCCAUCUUCCUCUACCUCAAGAGAUCUGAGAGUUAUCCAGUGAUGCUGAAGAAUAUUCAGAUAACACAGGUACGUGGCGGACAUGAUCACUGUUUUUAUUGUUAUCUGUCCUUUCGAGGUUUGCUGCCUGUGUAGAUUCAUCCAUUUAAAGCUGGUUUGGUGGAUACUGGUGGUGAAUUAAAUGCUGUUGCUGCCCCCAAACUUUCAUCCUCCAUAUCUGCCAUACUAGCAGCAGUCGUGCAUCUGCUACCAAAAUGUAUUUGGAGGGCCUUUGAUGAUUAAGAAGGUCAUGUAACAUCCAUGCGAUGUGAGGAGUAAAGCUGCCUUUGGAAACACAUUUGUAUUUCAAAUAUACAUCCACAGAGAAAAAGGGUUCGAAAGGAUGUUUGAAAUGCUUUGAGUGUUUGAUUAUUUU
This is a long non-coding RNA of Musa acuminata AAA Group (dessert banana), 643 nucleotides long. RefSeq lists it as uncharacterized. The record is from RefSeq and is a predicted model, not a curated record. Lineage: Eukaryota; Viridiplantae; Streptophyta; Magnoliopsida; Zingiberales; Musaceae. The transcript is spliced from 3 exons.